Molecule: ribosomal RNA, 300 nt
Filed under: uncultured Halobaculum sp.
Lineage: Archaea; Methanobacteriati; Methanobacteriota; Halobacteria; Halobacteriales; Haloferacaceae
Description: bacterial SSU rRNA
Rfam family: Bacterial small subunit ribosomal RNA
Source: RNAcentral
GCGAAAGCCGGGCCAGCGGCGGGGGUAAUACGGAGGGGGCAAUCGGUAUCCGGAUUUAAUGGGUUUAAAGGGUCCGUAGGCGGAUCUGUAAGUCAGUGGUGAAAUCUCAUAGCUUAACGAUGAAACUGCCAUUGAUACUGCGGGUCUUGAGUAAGGUAGAAGUGGCUGGAAUAAGUAGUGUAGCGGUGAAAUGCAUAGAUAUUACUUAGAACACCAAUUGCGAAGGCAGGGCACUAUGUCUUAACUGACGCUGAUGGACGAAAGCGUGGGGAGCGAACAGGAUUAGAUACCCCUGUAGUC